Molecule: ribosomal RNA, 1374 nt
Filed under: metagenome
Description: bacterial LSU rRNA
Rfam family: Bacterial large subunit ribosomal RNA
Source: RNAcentral
GUUCUUAGCAGCGAGACCUGGGUGUAGGGAAAUCCGCACCCGAUGUAGGUUAGCGGCUAGGAGGAGCGUCCGUAAGGAUGCGAAGGUAGUGAUCCCACACUGCCGAGAAAAACCUCGUCAGGGAGACAUAGUUAGUGUCCGUACCCGAAACCGACACAGGUGGACUGGUAGACAAACUACCGAGGCGCGCGAGAGAACCCUCGCUAAGGAACUCGGCAAACUGACCCCGUAACCUCGGGAGAAGGGGUGCCUGCGAUAGGUGAAUCAAGAGAUUGAUGAGCCGAGGCAGGCCGCAGAGGAUAGGUCCUGGCGACUGUUUACCAAAAACACAGGUCUCUGCGAAGGCGGAAGCCGAAGUAUAGGGGCUGAGGCCUGGCCAGUGCUGGAAGGUUAAGGUGAGGGGUUAGCCUAGAGAUGGGCGAAGCUCCGAGCUGAAGCCUCAGUAAACGCCGGCCGUAACUAUAACGGUCCUAAGGUAGCGAAAUUCCUUGUCGGGUAAGUUCCGACCCGCAUGAAAGGUGUGACGACUGGGACGCUGUCUCAGCGAGGGACUCGGUGAAAUUACAAUGGGGGUGAAGAUGCCCUCUACCCGCGGCAGGACGGGAAGACCCCAUGGAGCUUUACUGUAGCCUGAUAUUGGGUUUUGGCAUGUGCUGCGCAGGAUAGGUGGGAGGCUGAGAAGGUACCCUUUCGGGGGUACUGGAGCCGACGGUGAGAUACCACCCUGCACGUGUUGGAACUCUAACAUGGAGCCGUGAAGCCGGCACAUGGACAGUGUCAGGUGGGCAGUUUGACUGGGGCGGUCACCUCCCAAAAGGUAACGGAGGCGUCCAAAGGUACCCUCAGGCGGAAUGGAAACCCGCUGCAGAGUGCAAAGGCAUAAGGGUGCUUGACUGCGAGAGGGACACCUCGAGCAGAGUGGAAACACGGGCUUAGUGACCCGGUGGUGCUGAGUGGAAAGGCCACCGAUCAACGGAUAAAAGUUACCCUGGGGAUAACAGGCUAAUGGGUCCCGAGAGUCCAUAUCGACGGAUCCGUUUGGCACCUCGAUGUCGACCCGUCUCAUCCUGGGGCUGAAGCAGGUCCCAAGGGUUGGGCUGUUCGCCCAUUAAAGAGGCACGCGAGUUGGGUUCAGAGCGUCGUGAGACAGCUCGGUCCUUAUCCGCCGCGGGCGCAGGAGUUCUGAGGGGAGCUCUUCCUAGUACGAGAGGACCGGAAGGGACCAGGCACUGGUGUACCAGUUGUACCGCCAGGUGCAGAGCUGGGUAGCCACCCUGGGAGGAAUAAGCGCUGAAAGCAUCUAAGCGCGAAGUCCAUCCCGAGAUAAGAACUUCCACAGAGAUGAUCUGGUAAGGGCCCGGGAAGACUACCCGG